ACCCGUUCCAGUGCCUUGCCACCCAUAGUGAGAAACUUCUUCCUAACACCUAAACUAAAUGUACCCUCUUUAGGACUGAAGUCGUUACCGCCUUGUCCUAUUGAUGUACACCCUUGUAAAAAGUCCCUCUGCAGGUUUCUUAUAGGCACCCUUUCCGUACCGUGAAGUCUGCUAUAAGGUCUCCUGCAAAGCUGCAUGCUGACAAACGGUCUGAGAAGGUGAGGCGGUUGUCAGCCGGGUUGGUGUUGAAUAGCAAAGUAUUAUGGGGCUGCUUGGUUAAGCAUUUACCGUCUGUUUUGGAGGUGCUGUGUGGGCCACCUUUGGAAUGGGAUGAGCGUUUGAGGAGAGCUGUGGAUUAGCGAGGAGGAGCAUGGGGCUGAUGACUUCUCAUGAGCGCCAUGCUAAUUUUGUGUCUCUUGGUACCUUAGGUACAAUGAGUGACGACGGCCACAGGGUCUGACUUGGAAAUGAGUGGGGAAGCGAACACGGUGGUGCUUCUGAGGAGGGGGGAGUUGUGGAAGUAGUUGGUGUUGGCUGAUGGGAUGCUUACUCCUUUUUCUGGUUUGUGUUUAUGUUUUUUUCAUUGCAGAUUUUGAAGAGCAAUGUGUCCCCUUGAGGAAUAUCCCAGUUAGCCCGUGUGGUUUUGUGGAGGAUGGAUUUGGACCCACGUCCCUCUGAAAGCUAAGUUGAGGGACCAGGGCUGGCGAGAGGCUGGGAGGAGGGGACGAAGCUGGGAAUUGCAGGGAGGGGUUUUAAAGUUAGCGCAGGAGAGAGGGCUGUCCAGGAGCAGUCCUGUUUGGGCAGAUGAAGGGAGCGGGUUGCUUUUCAGCCCAAGACCAGCGUGUGCCGGGAAGGGCAGUACCGGCCUGUGUCCGUGGUGGUGUGUAGUUUGUGUAGUCUGUCUUCUGUACUUAGACCUUCCUCGGGUCUCGAUGUCCUCAUCACGCUUUGUGCCGGAGCAGCGCGGCAUGUGCUUCGGGCGCCGUCCCUAGGGUCUUGAAUGCCCAUACUCAAUGGCCUGGUGCCAGUCAGGUGCUUUUUCUUGCGUUCGGAGCCCUAAAGCGUGGAUCGGUCUCGGCAGGUUCCAGUCGGUCCUCUCUUGCGGUGUUCUUCUGGGCUGCAUCGGCAGCUCUGCUCUCUAGCUGUCCAUUUUCUCGGCCUGGGAUUUCUUCCCUGCAUCCUGAUGUCCUUAGGUCUUGACGCCAGGCUUGUUAAGCAUCCAUCGUCUGGGUUUUGACAGUGGCAUCUUGUAACGAGCCGUUCCGUUCGACUCUUGUUCUCGGGGUCUGCCGUAGAGCCUCCUGGCCUCGCGGUUGUGGCCCCGUAGGUCAUCUUGCCUGACAGCGCCUCCCAUCCGGGGGUCAUUCUUCUUGCCGAGAGUUUUCUCUCUCUGAAUCACCUUGUUGGUAGCGUUCCACGUCGUGAUGUUCUGCGCACGGGAGUGUUUGGCUUGGAGCUGCUCUGCCCGGGGAUGUAGAGUCAGGGGUAGGUGGAAGAGCGAUGAGUCUACAGGUGAAAUGUUGAUGUGCCUAGACCGUUUAGGCGAGGGUUGUACAGUCAUCUCGGCUCGAGUAGCCAUUGGCGGGCUGUGUGGGACAGCUGUGCUGAUAGUGUUUUACGGAGACGAUUGGAGCCGUGUGGCAGGGGCCGUUGAGGGGCAGUGAAGCGGAUUUGACUCUCUAAGGUGUUAAGUCUUGGACGUGAUGGGCUUAGAGUUUGGCCCUGGUUUUUUUUUUUUUGGUUGGUGGUUUUUUGUUGUUGUUUUUUUUUUUUUUUUUUUAAAUGGCAGGCUGUAGUUGGACUCCAGAUGGUCUUUGUAGACGGAAUCGAGACCUCUGGAGUUGUUAAGCUCUUGCUCUGCAUCCAGGUGAUGACAGGGCACGAGGUGCUUGAAGGAACCUUGCAUUUAGGUGACAUGGCUGCUAUGGAGGUUGGACUGUGACAUGUGGCACUGUGAAAGCUAAGUAUCAGGUUGAAAAUGCACGGAUGGUGGAGAUGAUGGUGUGUGUUGAAACAUUGGUGUAACGGAAGGGUAGUUUGUGGGGAGUUUGGAAGGAGGUUGGGCUCGGGCCAGGGUUUUUGCAGGUAGGGUGAUUUUUGAGUCCUCCGGUGCUGCAGGCACGGGGUGAUGGCCCUUUGAUGGUGGUGGGCAGUUGCAUGGAUGAGUUGAGUGUGAGGACUGGCAUGUAUGUGAUCUGAAUGAGUGGUGUGUUGUGAAUGUGUGUAACCUUGUAGGGUUAUGUGGUUUAGCCUUGUUAUGUUUUUUCCUUUCAGGUUGGAUGUAGAGUUGAUAUGUUUUUCAGGGAA
Aquila chrysaetos chrysaetos is the source of this 2307-nucleotide long non-coding RNA. RefSeq lists it as uncharacterized. Lineage: Eukaryota; Metazoa; Chordata; Aves; Accipitriformes; Accipitridae. The record is from RefSeq and is a predicted model, not a curated record. The transcript is spliced from 2 exons.